CCUACGGGUGGCAGCAGUAGGGAAUUUUCGUCAAUGGGCGCAAGCCUGAACGAGCGAUGCCGCGUGAGUGAAGAAGGCCUUCGGGUCGUAAAGCUCUGUUGAGGGGGAAAAAAGACAGCAUCAGGAAAUGGGUGCUGACUGAUGGUGUCCCGCCAGAAAGUCACGGCUAACUACGUGCGAGGAGCCGCGGUAAAACGUAGGAGGCGGGUGUUAUCCGGAAUGAUUGGGAGGAAAGGGUACGCAGGCGGGUCUGAAAGGCUGGAGUGAAACGGAUGAGCUCAAAUCAUACAUGGCUUUGGAAACUGGAGGACUGGAGAGCAGGAGAGGGCGGUGGAACUCCAUGUGUAGCGGUAAAAUGCGUAGAUAUAUGGAAGAACACCAGUGGCGAAGGCGGCCGCCUGGCCUGUUGCUGACGCUGAGGCACGAAAGCGUGGGGAGCAAAUAGGAUUAGAUACCCGUGUAGUC
Molecule: ribosomal RNA, 465 nt
Filed under: uncultured bacterium
Lineage: Bacteria
Description: partial 16S ribosomal RNA
Rfam family: Bacterial small subunit ribosomal RNA
Source: RNAcentral